UAGAGUUUGAUCCUGGCUCAGAUCGAACGCUGGCGGCAUGCCUUACACAUGCAAGUCGAACGGCAGCACGGGAGCAAUCCUGGUGGCGAGUGGCGAACGGGUGAGUAAUACAUCGGAACGUGCCCUGGUAGUGGGGGAUAACUAGUCGAAAGACUAGCUAAUACCGCAUACGACCUGAGGGUGAAAGUGGGGGACCGCAAGGCCUCAUGCUAUAGGAGCGGCCGAUGUCUGAUUAGCUAGUUGGUGGGGUAAAGGCCUACCAAGGCGACGAUCAGUAGCUGGUCUGAGAGGACGAUCAGCCACACUGGGACUGAGACACGGCCCACACUCCUACGGGAGGCAGCAGUGGGGAAUUUNGGACAAUGGGGGCAACCCUGCAUCCAGCAAUGCCGCGUGUGUGAAGAAGGCCUUCGGGUUGUAAAGCACUUUCGUCCGGGAAGAAAUCGCACCUGAUAAUACCGGGUGUGGAUGACGGUACCGGAAGAAUAAGGACCGGCUAACUACGUGCCAGCAGCCGCGGUAAUACGUAGGGUCCAAGCGUNAAUCGGAAUUACUGGGCGUAAAGCGUGCGCAGGCGGUUGUGCAACACCGAUAUGA
This 597-nucleotide ribosomal RNA is filed under the name uncultured bacterium. RNAcentral describes it as "bacterial SSU rRNA". It matches the Rfam family "Bacterial small subunit ribosomal RNA", at positions 1 to 597 of the family's 1533-position model. The record is from RNAcentral.